GUGCUCACUUUGGCAGCACGUAUACUAAAAUUGGAACGAUACAGAGAAGAUUAGCA
RNAcentral lists this small nuclear RNA (56 nucleotides) under Prolemur simus (greater bamboo lemur). The record is from RNAcentral. Lineage: Eukaryota; Metazoa; Chordata; Mammalia; Primates; Lemuridae.